UACGUAGGGUGCAAGCGUUGUCCGGAAUUAUUGGGCGUAAAGAGCUCGUAGGCGGUUCGUCGCGUCGGCUGUGAAAACCUGAGGCUCAACCUCAGGCCUGCAGUCGAUACGGGCGGACUUGAGUACUGCAGGGGAGACUGGAAUUCCUGGUGUAGCGGUGAAAUGCGCAGAUAAUCAGGAGGAACACCGGUGGCGAAGGCGGGUCUCUGGGCCGAUACUGACGCUGAGGAGCGAAAGCGUGGGGAGCGAACAGG
Molecule: ribosomal RNA, 254 nt
Filed under: uncultured bacterium
Lineage: Bacteria
Description: partial 16S ribosomal RNA
Rfam family: Bacterial small subunit ribosomal RNA
Source: RNAcentral